GGGUGAGUAACACGUGGGUAACCUGCCUUAUAGAGGGGGAUAGCCUUCCGAAAGGAAGAUUAAUACCGCAUAAAGUCUGAUUUUCACAUGAGAAUUUGACCAAAGGAGCAAUCCGCUAUAAGAUGGACCCGCGGCGCAUUAGCUAGUUGGUGAGGUAACGGCUCACCAAGGCGACGAUGCGUAGCCGACCUGAGAGGGUGAUCGGCCACAUUGGAACUGAGAUACGGUCCAGACUCCUACGGGAGGCAGCAGUGGGGAAUAUUGCACAAUGGGCGAAAGCCUGAUGCAGCAACGCCGCGUGAGUGAUGAAGGCCUUCGGGUUGUAAAGCUCUGUCUUUUGGGACGAUAAUGACGGUACCAAAGGAGGAAGCCACGGCUAACUACGUGCCAGUAGCCGCGGUAAUACGUAGGUGGCAAGCGUUGUCCGGAUUUACUGGGCGUAAAGAAUGCGUAGGCGGAUAUUUAAGUGGGAUGUGAAAUACCCGGGCUCAACUUGGGUGCUGCAUUCCAAACUGGACAUCU
This 522-nucleotide ribosomal RNA is filed under the name uncultured bacterium. RNAcentral describes it as "bacterial SSU rRNA". It matches the Rfam family "Bacterial small subunit ribosomal RNA", at positions 104 to 642 of the family's 1533-position model. The record is from RNAcentral.